Molecule: long non-coding RNA, 1077 nt
Organism: Strigops habroptila (Kakapo)
Lineage: Eukaryota; Metazoa; Chordata; Aves; Psittaciformes; Psittacidae
Exons: 2
Source: RefSeq, a predicted model, not a curated record
GACUAAUGCAUAGAAUAUUCCAGUUUGUGAACAGCUGAAGUCGGCUUCUUUUUGAAAAGAAAAUUAAAUAUGUUGAGUCUCUAAUCCUGUUAGACAAAUUUUAACUGAUUUUUAAUAAAUUCUGGCAGCCUUGUGUGUGAUACUGCCUUGAUUUCACUACUAAGAUAAAACAGUUCAUGAUUUUGGUUUUAAGGAUAAUUGGUCCUGUUUAUUACAAUCUAGAAGAUCUCAUUUUACAGAUCAUGUUUCACCUGAGAGCAGAUUGUUAAGUCCUUUGUGCAGAUACUGAAGGCGGCCAACAAGAUGCCUGUGUUUCUCUGUGGUUUAACAACACUUAUCUUUUUGAGUCAACUUCAUUCCAUGCAGAAAGUUUGAACAAAGUAUACUGACUUUGAAACAGAUUCACACAGCUUAGUAGGAGGUGUCUAACAGUCUUCAUAAUACUCCGUACCAAAUAUAGAAAAGUUCUCUUGAGUGUUCUGCUUUGGCAUAAGACCACCAUCUCAAUUCCUCUGCAAAGCUUUCUGUGCUGUCUUUCCACUUGGCCAUGCCUUCACUUUCAGAUGGAUGUGUGGAACACUUACUAGAUCGAUGGCAUAGGCUGGAGCUAUGGAAAUGUACAGAAAAUUAACUUCUGUUAUUUCUAAAAUUUUAUUUAACCUUAGAGAAUGAGGAACAGAGCAUGUUGCACUGCCAGUUACGUAUUCCAGUUUAUAUCCAGUUGCUAUCAUUCCUCACUGCAAAUGAGGACCCAACAUGUUCUUUUCAGUUAUUUGCUAUUCUAUAGUCCUUGAUUGUGUUGAUUUUUCUUGCUUCUGGUCUGGGUCUUGUGAGUAUUAGAAGCAUUAUGCAGCAAUGAAACAAGACUUUUGUUUCAGAAUAAUAAACAACUCUGAGCAGCCGUUGGUGUUAGUUUUUUAAAAUACUGUUCAUUACACAGCCUGACCCCUUUCACACACACACUGUGGCAUUUUUUUAUUUUUCACCAUUUUGUGUAAAACAGUUCAAAAUACAUUUAAAUAACUAUCUCAUUGUAACAGAUGUGUUAAGGCUUAUACAGCAAUCCAGUAUCAGUCA